Molecule: ribosomal RNA, 497 nt
Filed under: uncultured bacterium
Lineage: Bacteria
Description: partial 16S ribosomal RNA
Rfam family: Bacterial small subunit ribosomal RNA
Source: RNAcentral
GAUGAACGCUGGCGGCGUGCCUAAUACAUGCAAGUCGAGCGAACAGACGAGGAGCUUGCUCCUCUGACGUUAGCGGCGGACGGGUGAGUAACACGUGGAUAACCUACCUAUAAGACUGGGAUAACUUCGGGAAACCGGAGCUAAUACCGGAUAAUAUAUUGAACCGCAUGGUUCAAUAGUGAAAGACGGUUUUGCUGUCACUUAUAGAUGGAUCCGCGCCGCAUUAGCUAGUUGGUAAGGUAACGGCUUACCAAGGCAACGAGGCGUAGCCGACCUGAGAGGGUGAUCGGCCACACUGGAAGUGAGAAACGGUCCAGACUCCUACGGGAGGCAGCAGUAGGGAAUCUUCCGCAAUGGGCGAAAGCCUGACGGAGCAACGCCGCGUGAGUGAUGAAGGUCUUCGGAUCGGAAAACUCUGUUAUUAGGGAAGAACAAAUGUGUAAGUAACUAUGCACGUCUUGACGGUACCUAAUCAGAAAGCCACGGCUAACUACGUG